Molecule: ribosomal RNA, 692 nt
Filed under: uncultured bacterium
Lineage: Bacteria
Description: bacterial SSU rRNA
Rfam family: Bacterial small subunit ribosomal RNA
Source: RNAcentral
AACGCUAGCUACAGGCUUAACACAUGCAAGUCGAGGGGCAGCAUUUCGCUAGCAAUAGUGAAGAUGGCGACCGGCGCACGGGUGAGUAACACGUAUCCAACCUGCCGUCUACUCUUGGACAGCCUUCUGAAAGGAAGAUUAAUACAAGAUGGCAUCAUGAGUUCACAUGUUCACAUGAUUAAAGGUAUUCCGGUAGACGAUGGGGAUGCGUUCCAUUAGAUAGUAGGCGGGGUAACGGCCCACCUAGUCUUCGAUGGAUAGGGGUUCUGAGAGGAAGGUCCCCCACAUUGGAACUGAGACACGGUCCAAACUCCUACGGGAGGCAGCAGUGAGGAAUAUUGGUCAAUGGGCGCAGGCCUGAACCAGCCAAGUAGCGUGAAGGAUGACUGCCCUAUGGGUUGUAAACUUCUUUUAUAAAGGAAUAAAGUCGGGUAUGUAUACCCGUUUGCAUGUACUUUAUGAAUAAGGAUCGGCUAACUCCGUGCCAGCAGCCGCGGUAAUACGGAGGAUCCGAGCGUUAUCCGGAUUUAUUGGGUUUAAAGGGAGCGUAGAUGGAUGUUUAAGUCAGUUGUGAAAGUUUGCGGCUCAACCGUAAAAUUGCAGUUGAUACUGGAUAUCUUGAGUGCAGUUGAGGCAGGCGGAAUUCGUGGUGUAGCGGUGAAAUGCUUAGAUAUCACGAAGAACUCCGAUUG